This 447-nucleotide ribosomal RNA is filed under the name uncultured bacterium. RNAcentral's name for it is "bacterial SSU rRNA". It matches the Rfam family "Bacterial small subunit ribosomal RNA", at positions 355 to 825 of the family's 1533-position model. The record is from RNAcentral.
UGGGGAAUUUUGGACAAUGGGGGCAACCCUGAUCCAGCAAUGCCGCGUGAAGGAUGAAGUAUUUCGGUAUGUAAACUUCGAAAGAAUAGGAAGAAUAAAUGACGGUACUAUUUAUAAGGUCCGGCUAACUACGUGCCAGCAGCCGCGGUAAUACGUAGGGACCAAGCGUUGUUCGGAUUUACUGGGCGUAAAGGGCGCGUAGGCGGCAUGACAAGUCACUUGUGAAAUCUCUGGGCUUAACCCAGAACGGCCAAGUGAUACUGUCGCGCUAGAGUGCAGAAGGGGCAAUCGGAAUUCUUGGUGUAGCGGUGAAAUGCGUAGAUAUCAAGAGGAACACCUGAGGUGAAGACGGGUUGCUGGGCUGACACUGACGCUGAGGCGCGAAAGCCAGGGGAGCAAACGGGAUUAGAUACCCCCGUAGUCCCUGAGCGGGCUGGCAAGGCGCAU